AUGGGAGCUUGCUCCCUGAUGUUAGCGGCGGACGGGUGAGUAACACGUGGGUAACCUGCCUGUAAGACUGGGAUAACUCCGGGAAACCGGGGCUAAUACCGGAUGGUUGUCUGAACCGCAUGGUUCAGACAUAAAAGGUGGCUUCGGCUACCACUUACAGAUGGACCCGCGGCGCAUUAGCUAGUUGGUGAGGUAACGGCUCACCAAGGCGACGAUGCGUAGCCGACCUGAGAGGGUGAUCGGCCACACUGGGACUGAGACACGGCCCAGACUCCUACGGGAGGCAGCAGUAGGGAAUCUUCCGCAAUGGACGAAAGUCUGACGGAGCAACGCCGCGUGAGUGAUGAAGGUUUUCGGAUCGUAAAGCUCUGUUGUUAGGGAAGAACAAGUGCCGUUCAAAUAGGGCGGCACCUUGACGGUACCUAACCAGAAAGCCACGGCUAACUACGUGCCAGCAGCCGCGGUAAUACGUAGGUGGCAAGCGUUGUCCGGAAUUAUUGGGCGUAAAGGGCUCGCAGGCGGUUUCUUAAGUCUGAUGUGAAAGCCCCCGGCUCAACCGGGGAGGGUCAUUGGAAACUGGGGAACUUGAGUGCAGAAGAGGAGAGUGGAAUUCCACGUGUAGCGGUGAAAUGCGUAGAGAUGUGGAGGAACACCAGUGGCGAAGGCGACUCUCUGGUCUGUAACUGACGCUGAGGAGCGAAAGCGUGGGGAGCGAACAGGAUUAGAUACCCUGGUAGUCCACGCCGUAAACGAUGAGUGCUAAGUGUUAGGGGGUUUCCGCCCCUUAGUGCUGCAGCUAACGCAUUAAGCACUCCGCCUGGGGAGUACGGUCGCAAGACUGAAACUCAAAGGAAUUGACGGGGGCCCGCCAAGCGGUGGAGCAUGU
Molecule: ribosomal RNA, 886 nt
Filed under: Bacillus tequilensis
Lineage: Bacteria; Bacillati; Bacillota; Bacilli; Caryophanales; Bacillaceae
Description: bacterial SSU rRNA
Rfam family: Bacterial small subunit ribosomal RNA
Source: RNAcentral